This 527-nucleotide long non-coding RNA is filed under the name Sorghum bicolor (sorghum). RNAcentral's name for it is "long non-coding RNA (SBIC_LNC011884)". The record is from RNAcentral. Lineage: Eukaryota; Viridiplantae; Streptophyta; Magnoliopsida; Poales; Poaceae.
UGUGGAGUCUUAUGUAGGUAUGAAUAGAGUGCCUACUUGUAUCACAUAAUAUUGCUAAGUCAAACACUAGAUCCAAGGAGAUGCAAGACAUACACUUUGAUCAAGAUGUGCAAGUGUGUGGGAAAUAAUCUAUGCCUAUUCUUUUUUUGAACUCCUUUUGUAUGAAUCUCUUUUCUUUAAAAUUAGGAGAAUAUGGGCCGUGCUUUUCUUUUUCUCUAUUUUCUUAUCUCAUGCCCUUUUGGCAUGGACUCUUCUUGGCUUGGAAUUUCUUUUCUUUUUGCUUGGCCGAAAUUUUUUUUUAGAAGUUUUGAACAAGAUCAUAACAAAUGAAUUGUAACACCCUAGUGUUAAGCAUGCAUUAGGGCUCCAUGAACCUACAUGAGCAUUGACAUAAGCAUGAGCACCUCAUCUCAUAAGCAUCUCAUGUGUGAGUGAUAUUUGCAUAGUAUUUAAGUAUGAAUUAAUUAUGAUGAUUGUUAUGCUAUGUCUAAAAAUGUUUGUGGUGCCUAGAUUACAUUGUUUUGUGC